This 755-nucleotide ribosomal RNA is filed under the name uncultured bacterium. RNAcentral describes it as "bacterial SSU rRNA". It matches the Rfam family "Bacterial small subunit ribosomal RNA", at positions 65 to 798 of the family's 1533-position model. The record is from RNAcentral.
AACGCGAAAGUGGAGCAAUCCAUGAGUAGAGUGGCAAACGGGUGAGUAACGCGUGGGCGACCUACCUCAGAGUGGGGGAUAACCUUCCGAAAGGAGGGCUAAUACCGCAUGACAUACCGUGUUUGGAUACACGGAUAUCAAAGCCGGGGAUCGCAAGACCUGGCGCUUGGAGAGGGGCCCGCGUCCGAUUAGCUAGUUGGUGAGGUAACGGCUCACCAAGGCUCCGAUCGGUAUCCGGCCUGAGAGGGCGGACGGACACACUGGAACUGAGACACGGUCCAGACUCCUACGGGAGGCAGCAGUGGGGAAUUGUUCGCAAUGGGCGCAAGCCUGACGACGCAACGCCGCGUGGAGGAUGAAGACUUUCGGGUCGUAAACUCCUUUCGACCGAGAUGAAUUUCCCACGACCUAACACGUCGUGGGGGUGACAGUAUCGAGGGAAGAAGCCCCGGCUAACUCCGUGCCAGCAGCCGCGGUAAUACNGGGGGGGGCAAGCGUUGUUCGGAAUUACUGGGCGUAAAGGGUUGGUAGGUGGCUUGUUAAGUCAGACGUGAAAUCCCUCAGCUUAACUGGGGAACUGCGUCUGAUACUGGUGAGCUUGAGUGCAGGAGAGGAACGCGGAAUUCCAGGUGUAGCGGUGAAAUGCGUAGAUAUCUGGAGGAACACGGGUGGCGAAGGCGGCGUUCUGGACUGCAACUGACACUGAACAACGAAAGCCAGGGUAGCAAACGGGAUUAGAUACCCCGGUAGUCCUG